UACAGAGGGGGCAAGCGUUGUUCGGAAUUACUGGGCGUAAAGGGCGCGUAGGUGGCCUUCUAAGUCGAACGUGAAAUCCCCGGGUUCAACCCGGGAACUGCGUCCGAUACUGGCAGGCUUGAAUCCGGGAGAGGGAUGCGGAAUUCCAGGUGUAGCGGUGAAAUGCGUAGAUAUCGGAAGGAACAUCAGUGGCGAAGGCGACUUCCUGGACAGAUACUGACACUGAGGCACGAAAGCGUGGGGAGCAAACAGG
Molecule: ribosomal RNA, 253 nt
Filed under: uncultured bacterium
Lineage: Bacteria
Description: partial 16S ribosomal RNA
Rfam family: Bacterial small subunit ribosomal RNA
Source: RNAcentral